This is a long non-coding RNA of Aquila chrysaetos chrysaetos, 2436 nucleotides long. RefSeq lists it as uncharacterized. The transcript is spliced from 2 exons. NCBI's taxonomy places the organism in Eukaryota, Metazoa, Chordata, Aves, Accipitriformes, Accipitridae. The record is from RefSeq and is a predicted model, not a curated record.
CUGUAAAAUGAUAAGCAGUAUAAACACUAAAACCAAAAAAGGUUGUGAUAAAAAAGGGACUAUUUUUCCUGUCACAGCUAAACAUUGUUAUCAAAUGGAAGUUAAGAAAUAACUGAUAUCAGUAUGUGAGUAAUUAAAAGCAUUUUUGCAAAGAAGCCUGCCAGACUCUCUUCUGCACGUACAUAUAGAGCUGCAGUAGUGUUAGUAGUGUUGCCUCACUAGUAGUGUUAUCUAGUCCAACAUAAGCAUUUGGAUGACAUAAGUAUGAGGAGGUUUUAAUCUCUCCAUUUAUUUAUUCCUGAUUUCAUGGGAGUUAAGCUUUGAAAUGAGACCUGAGUGAACUCGCUGAACCUUGGGAUGAUGCAGAACAUCAUCUGCAUCCUGUAGGUUUUUAACUCAGAAAUCUAGAGAACUCCAAGUUCUUUUUCCAGGAUUUGGAAGCUGAUUUCUUAUCCAUCCUCAGCCCUCUGUCUGCAUUGGCUCUUAGCUGCAACUUGCUUUCUCUUUUUCUCUUUUCCCCUUUCUCUUAACCACAAGAAAUACUCACUCUUAAAAUAUGAAUAAUUAAAUAACACUCUCAAAUUAAGGUCUUUAAUGGAAAAUGGGAAGAAAAAUAAGAUAAUAAAUCUGGUGUUUACACAAUUUUCCUUAAAAUAAUGACUGAACUUAUAGAUCUCUAACUAUCUGACAACAGGAGUCAAUUGGAAACAUUCAUGCGAAGCCAUGAUACAUUUUGCGUGACCUUGAAUUAAUUUUUGCCUUGCUACUUUCAAAUUAAUUAUGUUACACACAUGACACUCCUCCUGGCACUUUUUUAACAUCUGGAUGCCCUUGUUAUAUUUUUUACCCAAAAGUCUGUAUAUUCUUUUGGACUAAGUGAUUAUUUCCCUGCAUAAGUUUCUACUCAGGUGAAUUUUCAUUGUUUCUGUCAUUAAUUUUUCCUUUCUUACUGCAGGGAACAUUUUGUUUAACUCUUACAUAAGUAUAAAAGGAGUAUUGCUUACCAUUAAACUUUUCCUAGUAGUGCGUAGAAAACAUCAGGUGUCAAGGAAAUAAAAGCUGCAACUUGCUUUGUUAAGAAAGAUCAGUGGAUAACAACACUGAACAGCAUAUAGCUAGGACUUACCGUACUUACUUUCUCUCCUCAGACUUAAGUUAAUAUUCUGUGGCCUAUCUAUUCUACCAUUUCACAUUACGGAGAGCUGACUCUUCCUCUUUUCCAAUAUAAACCAAAUUUUGCUUCCUUCUGCAAUCAGAAAGCCAUUUUCAAAUCAAACUCUUGAGUGUAUGAGCACUGUCUUAUAUUUGAAAAUAUGCAAAAAAAUAUUUUGGACAUGGGGACAGAAAAAUAUGCAACUAAUGCAAUAAAUGAAUUUUAAUCAAGCUAAUAUUUCUUCUUAGAAAAUAUCAUUUGAGUUAUUUGCAUCCACUAGCAUUAGAGCCAUGACUUAUUUGGAGGCAGGUUGGGAUAUGCCAGCUGUUUCCCUGAUUGUUUAAAUGUUCCAAAUUCUAACAUAUUUUAAGAAGGCAGUUUUAGCAGAAACACCCUCGGUGAUUGCACUUUCUCAGAUCCCACAAGAAAAGGCUGUUGGAGCAGGUUGCAGAUAGAGACAUCCAGCAAAACUGGAGUUACAAAGCCUGUUUGAUCCCAGCAAGUUGGCUUUAUUCUUGGUCAUACAGUAUUGUGGAAGACACUGUGUAGAUCAAAGAGUUGAUUAAGUAACAAAGAUUUCCAGGAAAGAAAACUAACUUCCAACCAGUGCUGAUGUUUACCCUUCAUGCAAUGCACCUGAACAGUUUAAACAGAUGAAAAGGAAAGGGAGAAAGGCAGCCCAAACAUCUGAAUGCGAUUGCCUGGAAAAUCAUUGUGGUCUGUACAGAACUUCAACUGCUCAGAGAUGAUAUUCUGCCUCUGGAAGCAGUUAAAUUUAGAAAAGAAAGGAAGUGCUUAUUUAAAUGCAAAAGCUUGUCCAAAUGUUUUUAAACCAUUUCUUUCAGGGCAUUAAAUAAUGCUCAAACAUCCAUUGAAGUCAAAUUUCCACUGAACUAAAUCAGUGCAGUCUCUAUGCGGCUACAGAAUGAUUCUUAUAUAAAUCCUUUCAUAAUAUGAUUUUCCCUAUUAAGCGUUCCUGUAGCAACUACAUGCAUGCUAUGUGAUUGGAGAGGGAGGAAGAAGCUGUUUGAUUUGCACACAUGCAAAGAAGUGGCCCUCUCUCUUUCGUUAAGGUGUGGUGGGUGUUGCAAUGUAGUCUGACUGCAGCUGGUCCAGCUUUUGUGACAGACUGGUGAGAACAUUUGCCUCAAGCUCCUGCCACUUAAAUCCCCAAAUGUUGACUAUAACCUGCAAGAAAGAUCUUUUCUUAUACCUGUUCUAAAUGUCAGUAGUGAAUUAAGCAACUGUAGUCUAAACUAAGUUUAGAAUUUUGAAAAAAAAUA